This 467-nucleotide ribosomal RNA is filed under the name uncultured bacterium. RNAcentral describes it as "bacterial SSU rRNA". It matches the Rfam family "Bacterial small subunit ribosomal RNA", at positions 47 to 507 of the family's 1533-position model. The record is from RNAcentral.
CCUAACACAUGCAAGUCGAGCGGUAGAGAGGUGCUUGCAUCUCUUGAGAGCGGCGGACGGGUGAGUAAUGCCUAGGAAUCUGCCUGGUGGUGGGGGGAUAACGUUCGGAAACGGACGCUAAUACCGCAUACGUCCUACGGGAGAAAGCGGGGGGAUCUUCGGACCUCGCGCCAUUAGAUGAGCCUAGGUCGGAUUAGCUAGUUGGUGAGGUAAUGGCUCACCAAGGCGACGAUCCGUAACUGGUCUGAGAGGAUGAUCAGUCACACUGGAACUGAGACACGGUCCAGACUCCUACGGGAGGCAGCAGUGGGGAAUAUUGGACAAUGGGCGAAAGCCUGAUCCAGCCAUGCCGCGUGUGUGAAGAAGGUCUUCGGAUUGUAAAGUACUUUAAGUUGGGAGGAAGGGUAGUAACCUAAUACGUUGCUACUUUGACGUUACCGACAGAAUAAGCACCGGCUAACUUCGUG